Erigeron canadensis is the source of this 231-nucleotide long non-coding RNA. RefSeq lists it as uncharacterized. Lineage: Eukaryota; Viridiplantae; Streptophyta; Magnoliopsida; Asterales; Asteraceae. The record is from RefSeq and is a predicted model, not a curated record. The transcript is spliced from 3 exons.
GGUCCAAACAGGCGGUGGGGACUCAGGGUCGGCGAUCUAUUUCUCUUGCCCACGAUCGGGCGUUGGCCAAGCACCAUAACGAAAAGAAGGAGGGGCCACCGCCCACGUGGGAGUCGACUUGGGCGGCAACCCACAGACUACAACCUCCGGAAGUUGCGUCCCGUCUGGAAGCUGCGCAGGAGAGACAUUCACAGGAUCCUGCACCGACACCUCCAACCCAGUUGUUCCCGG